ACUUUUAACAACAGAUCUCUUAGUUCUAGCAUUAAUAAAGAACGCAGCGAAAUGCGAUAAGUAGUAUAAAUUGUAGAAUUUAGUAAAUUAUUAAAUCUUUAAACGCAUAUUGCGCCCCUUAGUAUUCUAUAGGGCAUGCCUAUUUAAGCGUUAUUUGUACCCUUAAGCUCUACUUAGUGUUAGGUGUUUAUUCUACUUAGGACUUGCCUUAAAACAAUUAGCAGCUAGCAUAUUAGCCUAGAGCGCAGUAUAUUUUGCGCCUCUUAUUAUAGUUAUUAGUAUCUAUUAAGACACUUUUUAAGCUCUUAACCUUAGAUUAGGUAGGGAUACCCGCUAAACUUAAGCAUAUUAAUAGGUAGAGGAAAAGAAACUAAUAGGGAUUACCCUAGUAAUAGCAAGUAAAGCGGCAAUAGCUUAAAUUUAAAAUCUAGCUCUUUUAGGGUCUAAGUUGUAAUUUAUAGAGGGCGCUUUAGCGUUAGUAGUAGUCUAAGUUCCUUAGAAUAGGACGUUAUAGAGGGUAAGAAUCCUAUACGUAGUUGCUAGCCUUUGCUAUGUAAAGCCCCUUUAACAAGUUAAGUUGUUUAGGAAUGCAGCUCUAAAUAGGAGGUAAAUUUCUUCUAAAGCUAAAUACUAGCUAGAGACUAAUAGCGUAUAAGUAGAGUAAUUAAAAGAUAAAAAGUACUUUAGAAAGAGAGUUAAAUAGCACGUGAAAUUGUUAAAAGGGAAGCGCUUACAGCUAGACUUGCCUGUAGUUGCUUAUCUAGGCUUUUGUCUAGUGCACUCUUCUACAGGCAGGCUAGUAUUAGUUUAGGUAGUUAGAUAAAGGUCUCUGUUACGUACCUCCCUUUAGGGAGGCCUUAUAGGGGAGAUAACAUGCAACUAGCCUAGACUAAGGUCCGCGCAUCUGCUAGGAUACUAGCGUAAUAGCUAUAAGCGGCCUAUCUUAAAAUAUAGACUAAGGAGUCUAAUAUCUAUGCAAGUGUUUAGGUGUUAAGCCUAGACGCGUAAUAAAAGUGAAUAGAGGUAGGAACCCUUUUAGGGUGCACUAUUAACUAAUCCUAAUAUCUUUAGAAGGAUUUAAGUAAGAGUAUAGCUAUUAGGACCUAAAAGAUAGUAAACUAUACUUAAAUAGGGUAAAGCUAGAGGAAACUCUAGUAGAGGCUCGCAGCAGUUCUAACGUGUAAAUUAAUUGUUAAAUUUAGGUAUAGGGGUAAAAGACUAAUUAAACUAUCUAGUAGCUAGUUCCUACUAAAGUUUCCCUUAGGAUAGUAGUAACGUAUUUAGUUUUAUAAGGUAAAGCAAAUAAUUAGAGGCCUAGGGGUUAAAAUAACCUUUACCUAUUCUUAAACUUUAAAUAUAUAAGAAGUCCUUAUUACUUAAUUAAACGUGGACACUUAAAUAUACUAUUACUAGUAGGCUAUUUUUAGUAAGUAGAACUAGUAAUGCAGGAUAAACUAAACAUAGGGUUAAGGUGCUAGAAUGCACGCUUAUUAGAUACUACAAAAGGUGUUAGUUUAUCUAGACAGUAGGAUAGUAGCUAUAGAAGUUAGAAUCCGCUAAGGAGUGUGUAAUAACUUACCUGCUAAAUAAACUAGCCCUAAAAAUAGAUAGCGCUUAAUCGUGUUACCUAUACCCCGCUGCUAGGGCAAGAUUUAAGCCCUAGCAAGUAGGUAGGCGUAGAGGCUUGUAACAAAGCCUUAGGGGUAACCCUAGGUAGAAUAGCCUCUAGUGUAGAUCUUAGUGGUAGUAGCAAAUACUUAAAUAAGAACUUUAAGGACUAAAGUAGGAAAAGGUUCUGUAUAAAUAGCAGUUAGAUAUAGGUUAGUUAAUCCUAAGAGAUAGGGUAAUUCUAUUUUAAUAUUAGUGCUUACGCCACGCCCUUAAAAGGGAAGCUAGUUAAUAUUCUAGCACCUAGAUGUAGAUUCUCCGCGGCAACGCAACUAAGAGCGGAGACCUUAGCAAGAGCCCUAAGAAGAGUUCUCUUUUCUUCUUAAUAGUCUGUCACCCUAAAAUUAGUUUAUCUAGAGCUAGGGUUUAAUAGCUAAAAGAGUGCUGCACUUUUAUAGCGUUUAGUGCGCUCCUAAUAAGCCUUAAAAAUCUGCUUAAAGGAAUAGUUUUUACGCUAGGUUAUACUUAUAACUAUAGCAGGUCUCUAAGGUAAAAAGCCUCUAGUUAAUAGAAUAAUGUAGAUAAGGGAAGUUAGCAAAAUAGAUCUAUAACUUUAGGAAAAGGAUUAGCUCUAAGGGUUAGGUACGUUAGGCCUUAGGGAGAAGCCUCUAGCGUAGAAGGGCACUAACUGCAAGGUAGGCGCCUCUUAGCGCUAGGGUGCAGACACCCUUAGCAGGUUUUAGCUGUCUAGCGUACGUUUAACAACUAACUUAGAACUAGUAUAGAUAAGGGGAAUCUAACUAUCUAAUUAAAAUAUAGCAUUGUAAUAGCUAGAAAGUAGUAUUAAUAUAAUAUAAUUUCUACCUAGUGCUCUAAAUAUUAAAGCAAAGAGAUUUAACUAAGCGCAGGUAAAUAGCAGGAGUAACUAUAACUCUCUUAAGGUAGCUAAAUACCUUGUUAUCUAAUUAGUAACGUGCAUAAAUAGAUUAACAAGAUUCCUACUAUCCCUAUCUACUAUCUAGCAAAACUAUAGCUAAGGGAACAGGCUUAGCUAAAUUAGCAGGGAAAGAAGACCCUAUUAAGCUUAACUCUAGUUUAACAUUGUAAAAAGAUAUAAGGGGUGUAGAAUAGGUAGGAGCUUUAGCGCUAGUGAAAUACUACUACCCUUAUUAUUUUUUUACUUAUUUAAUAAAGCAGAGCUUAGCCUUACUACCUAACUUCUAGCGUUUAAGGUUCUUUAUAGGCUAAUCUAGGUUAAAGAUAUUAUUAGGUAGGGAGUUUAGCUAGGGCGGCAUAUCUAUUAAACUAUAACGCAGGUGUCCUAAGGGGGACUUAUAGAGAAUAGAAAUCUCUAGUAGAGUAAAAGGGCAAAAGUCCCCUUAAUUUUAAUUUUUAGUGUGAAUACAAACUAUAAAAGUGUAGCCUAUUAAUCCUUUAGUCCCUUAAAAUUUAAGGCUAGAGGUGCUAGAAAAGUUACUAUAGGGAUAACUAGCUUGUGGCAGCUAAGCGUUUAUAGCGACGUUGCUUUUUAAUCCUUUAAUAUUAGCUCUUCCUAUUAUACUAAAGUAGAAUUUAGUAAGCGUUAGAUUAUUCACCUACUAAUAAGGAACGUAAGCUAGGUUUAGACUGUUAUAAGACAGGUUAGUUUUACCCUACUAAUAACCUUGCCCUAAUAGUAAUACCGCUUAGUACGAGAGGAACUGCGGUUUUAGAUAAUUAGUUUUUGCGGCUAUCUAACUAGGUAUUGCUGCAAAGCUACUAUCUGCUAGAUUAUAGCUAAACGCCUCUAAGUUAGAAUCUAUGCUAGAAUAGGGUAAUUUCCGCCUAUACUAGUUAGAUACAAAUAGGCCUUUAGCCUAGAACCUUACUAGAUUACUAUUAGCAGCCCUAUUAAAGUUAGGGUUGUUAGCUAGUGUAUUGCAAUUGUAUAGUGCGUAGGAUUAAAUCCUUUAUAGAUAACUUAGUUAUCUAGCUAGGUCGUGUAAGUAGUUAAGUAGCCUUGUUGUUACGAGCUACUAAGCGUAAGCCUGUUGCUAGCUUAGUUAAAAUUAGGAUAUUAUGCCCUCCUUAUUUGCAAAACUGCUGCCUAAACGGCUAAUAUUAAUAGAAGGAAGAGGGCUAUAGCAAACAAGUUAUAUAGUAAUUGCAAGAUAGAGAGGGCUAGAGCUAGGAGCAAUCCUCGCAAAAUAUAUAAAAGAAUAGGUUAUGUGUGUACGUACCUUAGGCAGUUAAUAUAUAGCAUAGGAAGAUUAAGAAAGGAUUUAAGAUAAUCUAUAUAGAUUUUUAGGUAGUGAUCUAUAACUUAAGAGCGUUCUAUAACUUUUUAUUUUUUAGGGGUACUAUUCUAUAACUUUAUAGCCUUCUAUACUUGAAAAUUCCUCUAGGCUAUUCUAUAACUAUAGAUUAUUUAAACCUUUAGGGUAUUCUAUUAAUAUUUAAAAAAAUCCUGUAGGCUAUUCUAUAAGCUUAGGGCGUUCUAUAACUUUAGGGCGUUCUAUAACUUUAGGGCGUUCUAUAACUUUAGGGCGUUCUAUAACUUUAGGGCGUUCUAUAACUUUUUAUUUUUUAGGGUUAGUAUUCUAUAAUAUUAGAGUGUUCUAUAACUUUUUUUUUUUUAGAGGUAGUGUUCUAUAACUUUAGGGCGUUCUAUAACUUUAGGGCGUUCUACAACUUUUUAUUUUUUAGGGGUAGUGUUCUAUAACUUUAGGGCGUUCUAUAACUUUUUCUUUUUUAGAGGUAGUGUUCUAUAACUUUAGGGCGUUCUAUAACUUUUUCUUUUUUAGAGGUAGUGUUCUAUAACUUUAGAGCGUUCUAUAACUUUUUCUUUUUUAGAGGUAGUGUUCUAUAACUUUAGGGCGUUCUACAACUUUUUAUUUUUAGGGGUAGCGUUCUAUAACUUUAGGGCGUUCUAUAACUUUAGGGCCUUCUAUAAGCUUAGGGCGUUCUAUAACUUUAGGGCCUUCUAUAACUUUAGGGCGUUCUAUAACUUUUUAUUUUUUAGGGUUAGUGUUCUAUAACUUUAGCGCGUUCUAUACCUUUUAUUUAUUCUAUUACUUUAGUCCUUUCUAUAACUUUAGACUAUUCUAUACUAGUAGCUAUUAUAUCCUUUUUACAAUACUUAUUAUAUUAUACUAUUAUCUAUUAUUCUUUACUGUUAAGUAUAUCCUUAUAUUUUAUAAAACCUUUUCUCUACUAGCUAGUCCUACUAUACUUUCUUUUAUAACCUACUAGUAUUAAAUAAUACCUUUAUAUUCUUCUUUUAUACUAUCUCUAUUUCUUGCCUUAUCUAUUAAGUAGAUAUAGAUAGAGCUAAUAGAUCUAUAGUUAAUAUAGAUAUAGUAGUUAUAGUAGAGUAUAGAUAUUAGAGUAGAUAUCCUUAUCUAUAUAUUUACCUACUACUAAUAAAAUUCCAAGUUACUCUUAUCUAGCGAAUACAGGUUUAUAGUUUGUAUAGGGCUGCGCAUGUCUACACAGUUUUACAUACAAAAAAGUGUACCUCUAAGCUAUUUUCUGCUGCACUAACCCUAUAACGCGAAAAUUAAACCAAAACCCGUUCCUAUAAUAUAUAAGGAGGGCAAAUGGAUUCUUAGAUACUAAAUACCUAACUAACUAACUAAGGUUAAAUCUGCUGCGCGCAGUUCUUAGAUUAGGCUGUUAAACUAGCGUUGUUAGGCACUAGGGGGGCAAUUUUUGCUUGUGUCCGCGUCUAUACUCCCUAUAACUCCCUAUUAUUAGCGCUCUGCGCCUGUUUUAGUAGUAGUUAGACUAAAUUUAAAAGUUUUAGUUUUAUAAUAGCUAGCCUUGUUUCCUAGAUUUCUGCCUAGUUUAGAUUUGCUCUAAUUAGUAGGUAAUUAGGGGCUUAGAGAUUACUCUUCUACUUAACUAGGUAGGCCUAGGCCUAUAUGCUAAAGCAACCCUACUAUUGCGCCUAGUUUUGUAGUUAGCACCUAAAGUCCUACUAUUAAAGUUUUAGUAGUAGGCAAAAUUUAGGGUCUAUAGAUAGCUAGCACUGCUAAACUAUUUAACAGAUCUUAGGGGACAGCCCUGCCUAGCAUCUGCUCCUAGUAAGUGUGGCAAAGCGUAGGUUUUCUCUACUUAAGGCAUAUAUAUGGCGAGUUUAAACACGCAGAAACGCCUAUUAGGCUUUGUUACAGACUAUUCCUUAAGAAACUUAGUAGGGGCAAUUAAAUUAGUUACUAGUUGUAACUAGUGCCUUAUAUACUAUUAUGCUAGUAGCUAGAAUUGCUUCUGCGAUUUCUUAUUACGUACUUUCUGCCUCCUUUUAGGGGUAGUACUUGUGCGCUUUAGCGUAUUAGGUAUUAGGAUUAUUACCUAGUUAAUUCUGCUAGUAGUUAUAUACUUGU
RNAcentral lists this ribosomal RNA (5972 nucleotides) under Plenodomus lingam JN3. RNAcentral describes it as "28S_rRNA". The stretch from base 307 to 3655 matches the Rfam family "Eukaryotic large subunit ribosomal RNA". The record is from RNAcentral. Lineage: Eukaryota; Fungi; Ascomycota; Dothideomycetes; Pleosporales; Leptosphaeriaceae.